Molecule: ribosomal RNA, 495 nt
Filed under: uncultured bacterium
Lineage: Bacteria
Description: partial 16S ribosomal RNA
Rfam family: Bacterial small subunit ribosomal RNA
Source: RNAcentral
GACGAACGCUGGCGGCGUGCCUAAUACAUGCAAGUAGAACGCUGAAGGAGGAGCUUGCUUCUCUGGAUGAGUUGCGAACGGGUGAGUAACGCGUAGGUAACCUGCCUGGUAGCGGGGGAUAACUAUUGGAAACGAUAGCUAAUACCGCAUAAUAGUAGAUGUUGCAUGACAUUUGCUUAAAAGGUGCAAUUGCAUCACUACCAGAUGGACCUGCGUUGUAUUAGCUAGUUGGUGAGGUAACGGCUCACCAAGGCAACGAUACAUAGCCGACCUGAGAGGGUGAUCGGCCACACUGGAACUGAGACACGGCCCAGACUCCUACGGGAGGCAGCAGUGGGGAAUCUUCGGCAAUAGACGGAAGUCUGACCGAGCAACGCCGCGUGUGUGAAGAAGGUUUUCGGAUCGUAAAGCUCUGUUGUAAGAGAAGAACGAGUGUGAGAGUGGAAAGUUCACACUGUGACGGUAUCUUACCAGAAAGGGACGGCUAACUACGUG